Molecule: ribosomal RNA, 2814 nt
Filed under: Mesorhizobium sp.
Lineage: Bacteria; Pseudomonadati; Pseudomonadota; Alphaproteobacteria; Hyphomicrobiales; Phyllobacteriaceae
Description: 23S ribosomal RNA
Rfam family: Bacterial large subunit ribosomal RNA
Source: RNAcentral
GAUCAAGUGUCUUAAGGGCAAUUGGUGGAUGCCUUGGCAUGCACAGGCGAUGAAGGACGUGAUACGCUGCGAUAAGCUACGGGGAGGUGCGAAUACCCUUUGAUCCGUAGAUUUCCGAAUGGGGAAACCCACCUAAGGUGCUUGGAAAAUCAGAGUAGCAGGGCAACCUGCUGCUGUGGUUUCCAAGUAUCGAUAAUAGGUAACUUACCCUGAAUAAAAUAGGGGUAAAGUGGCGAACGCGGGGAACUGAAACAUCUAAGUACCCGUAGGAAAGGACAUCAACCGAGACUCCGGCAGUAGUGGCGAGCGAACCCGGACCAGGCCAGUGGCGAUGAUGAGACAAGCGGAACCUUCUGGAAAGUAGGGCCAUAGUGGGUGACAGCCCCGUACGCGUAAUGCAAAUCAUCGUCCUCGAGUAAGGCGGGACACGUGAAAUCCUGUCUGAAAUUGGGGGGACCACCCUCCAAGCCUAAGUACUCGUGCAUGACCGAUAGCGAACUAGUACCGUGAGGGAAAGGUGAAAAGCACCCCGACAAGGGGAGUGAAAGAGUACCUGAAACCGAUUGCCUACAAACAGUGGGAGUCCAAGGUUCGUCCUGGGUGACCACGUACCUUUUGUAUAAUGGGUCAGCGACUUAGUGUGACGAGCAAGCUUAAACCGCUAGGUGUAGGCGCAGCGAAAGCGAGUCUGAACAGGGCGUUCAGUUCGUCGCAUUAGACCCGAAACCGAGUGAUCUAGCCAUGAGCAGGUUGAAGGUAAGGUAACACUUACUGGAGGACCGAACCCAUAACUGUUGCAAUAGUUCGGGAUGACUUGUGGCUAGGGGUGAAAGGCCAAUCAAACUCGGAAAUAGCUGGUUCUCCGCGAAAUCUAUUUAGGUAGAGCGUCGACCGAAUACCCCAGGGGGUAGAGCACUGGAUGGGCUAGGGGUCCUCACCGGAUUACCAAACCUAACCAAACUCCGAAUACCUGGGAGUACUAGUCGGCAGACACACGGCGGGUGCUAACGUCCGUCGUGAAAAGGGAAACAACCCUGACCUACAGCUAAGGUCCCCAAGUUAUGGCUAAGUGGGAAAGGAUGUGAGGAUCCCAAAACAACCAGGAUGUUGGCUUAGAAGCAGCCAUCAUUUAAAGAAAGCGUAACAGCUCACUGGUCUAAAUAAGGGUCUUUGCGCCGAAAAUGUAACGGGGCUCAAGCCAUACACCGAAGCUUAGGGUUUGCAGCAAUGCAAGCGGUAGCGGAGCGUUCUGUAAGCUGAUGAAGCCAUACCCGUGAGGGGUGGUGGAGGUAUCAGAAGUGCGAAUGCUGACAUGAGUAACGUAAGGGGAGUGAGAGACUCCCCCGCCGAAAGUCCAAGGGUUCCUGCUUAAAGCUAAUCUGAGCAGGGUUAGCCGGCCCCUAAGUCGAGGCAGAAAUGCGUAGACGAUGGGAACCACGUUAAUAUUCGUGGGCCUGGAGGAAGUGACGGAUCAUUGAGGUAGUCCAAUCUUAUCGGAUUGAAAGGGCUGCUGCGUGGUUCCAGGAAAUAGCUCCUCCUUAUAGACCGUACCCGAAACCGACACUGGUGGACUGGUAGAGUAUACCAAGGCGCUUGAGAGAACUAUGCUGAAGGAACUCGGCAAAUUGCACGCGUAACUUCGGAAGAAGCGUGACCCUUUUCCACGCAAGUGGAGGAGGGUGGCACAGACCAGGGGGUAGCGACUGUUUAUCAAAAACACAGGGCUCUGCGAAGUCGCAAGACGACGUAUAGGGUCUGACGCCUGCCCGGUGCUGGAAGGUUAAGAGGAGGGGUGCAAGCUCUGAAUCGAAGCCCCAGUAAACGGCGGCCGUAACUAUAACGGUCCUAAGGUAGCGAAAUUCCUUGUCGGGUAAGUUCCGACCUGCACGAAUGGCGUAACGACUUCCCCGCUGUCUCCAGCAUAGACUCAGUGAAAUUGAAUUCCCCGUGAAGAUGCGGGGUUCCUGCGGUUAGACGGAAAGACCCCGUGCACCUUUACUAUAGCUUUACAUUGGCAUUCGUAGUGGCAUGUGUAGGAUAGGUGGUAGGCUUUGAAACCUGGGCGCCAGCUCAGGUGGAGCCACCCUUGAAAUACCACCCUUAUCACUAUGGAUGUCUAACCGCGGCCCGUUAUCCGGGUCCGGGACAAUGUAUGGUGGGUAGUUUGACUGGGGCGGUCGCCUCCUAAAGAGUAACGGAGGCGCGCGAUGGUGGGCUCAGAACGGUCGGAAAUCGUUCGCUGAGUGCAAUGGCAUAAGCCUGCCUGACUGCGAGACUGACAAGUCGAGCAGAGACGAAAGUCGGUCAUAGUGAUCCGGUGGUCCCGCGUGGAAGGGCCAUCGCUCAACGGAUAAAAGGUACGCCGGGGAUAACAGGCUGAUGACCCCCAAGAGUCCAUAUCGACGGGGUUGUUUGGCACCUCGAUGUCGACUCAUCGCAUCCUGGGGCUGGAGCAGGUCCCAAGGGUAUGGCUGUUCGCCAUUUAAAGCGGUACGUGAGUUGGGUUCAGAACGUCGUGAGACAGUUCGGUCCCUAUCUGCCGUGGGUGUAGGAAUAUUGAAAGGAUCUGUCCCUAGUACGAGAGGACCGGGAUGGACGGAUCUCUGGUGGACCUGUUGUGGCGCCAGCCGCAUAGCAGGGUAGCUAUAUCCGGACGGGAUAACCGCUGAAGGCAUCUAAGCGGGAAACCCACCUUAAAACGAGUAUUCCCUGAGAACCGUGGAAGACGACCACGUUGAUAGGCCGGGUGUGGAAGAGCGGCAACGCUUGAAGCUUACCGGUACUAAUAGUUCGAUCGGCUUGAUCGUUCUCAUU